This is a long non-coding RNA of Pezoporus flaviventris, 582 nucleotides long. RefSeq lists it as uncharacterized. Lineage: Eukaryota; Metazoa; Chordata; Aves; Psittaciformes; Psittacidae. The record is from RefSeq and is a predicted model, not a curated record. The transcript has 2 exons.
AAUAAUCUUCACUUUCUCACUUCUGCCUUGGAGCUGCAAUCUGUCUGUAUGAGCUGCUGAGAUAAUUUCUUUCAAACUGCAGAAUUGGGAAGAGGACUUUGUAAUCACCUCAGAUCUGUUUUUUUACAUUAGCCUUGGGCUUAAACUUGCAUGUGAGACCAACCUCCCAAUUUAUUCUGCUGCCCCAGUUUUGACACUGUCUUGAGUAUGGAGUGAGCCAGGUGGCUAGGGGGUGGCUCAUAAAUCUGAAUGGCAUGAACCAAAGCAGUACCUUCUGUUCAGGAAAAAUCAUACUUGGUGAACCAUAAGAAGAAAUAUUCCAGAGAACAGAAUACCACAGGAUGCUUUGAGCAAGCCAAGGCUCUCUGUGAUACCGAAGGACAGAAAAGCCAAGAAUCAGCUAUUCAGCAAUGAAUUAAUAUGUUGUUAAAGGUCUGACCACUCUUAACGUGUUUGUAUCCAAUAGCUUUUAUCUCACUCCUGUCUUGCUGAAUCAGCUUUUCUGCCUACAUUAAACAUCCACUGAACUAAUCUAAACCUUAUGUGUUCCUCUUCCUUAAAAUAAAGGGGUUUUCUCUAUUA